GCCCCUCAAUUUUCGCCUCUUUCCCAAUGAUUCUUUUUUCUCCUUGUAAAAGGAAGCCCUAGAACGCACAACUACUAAUUGUAGUUCCCACCUUUGAACCCAAGGUCUUUUGAUUCUCUCUGUUUCAAUUACAUUACUACCGUACCGUCUCAUCUUGAUUUCUCUCGAUUUCAAUUUUAUUUUCUCGUAAUAUAAACACUUUACAUCCAAGAAAGAUCACUAGUGGUGGAAUGGACAAUCAUUCCAGGACCGAAACAAGAACUUUCAAGAAUGAUGUGUUAAUGGCCAAGAAAAAUGCAUUAUUGAAGAGAAAAGAAUGCAUAAAGGAAAACAAAAUGGAAUUAUCAGUUUUGUGUGACGUGAAUGCUUGAGCCGUGAUUUUAGGCCUCGAUGAGUAAAUUGAUUCUUGGCUCGAGAAUCGUAGCAAUGUGCGGGAGGUGAUCGAUUUGUACCAAAAUAGGUCUCUUAAUAACAAGGGAAAGCAGCAAUAUGAUGAUCAGGGUUAUAACAAGAAGCGGGUUUCGGGUGGUGAUGAAGAGGUUAAAUCUAGGGCUUUGAAUCUGGAAGAAUUUCUAAAAAAGCCUGAGGCCAAAUUAGAUGAAGUCAAGAAACAGAUUCAAUUUGUCAAGUCCAAAGAUCAAGCAAUCAAAACAGGUAUUUUCAUGAUUAUUUUUUAUGGUGAUCGGGCCAACCCUUUUUAGUCAUGUUUCACUCUAUUCUUUCUGGAAUUCAUAUACUUCUAUAUUCAUUCAUGGAUAGAUGUGGGUUGUUGCUUAAAUUGAUUUUUAUGGUGUGUGAAAUUAUUGUGUUCUAUGUGUUUUCUGGAGUAGAUGAGUGAAUGUAUCUCUUUUUCUUAAUCAAGACAACGAACUCUAUAAAUCUCUAGGUGUAGUUUAUUUAAUUUAAUAAUCAGUAAUCAUGCUCAAGGGAGGAUAUGAAGAUUAGAUUCCAUUAUGCUUUAAGGAUCCGCUAUAUCUGAACUUCAUAUGAUUUACAAGGUUUUGCUGGGUGAUGAGCGUUUGCAAGAAAUUUCCUGGCAAUGGUUGUUGUUCAAUACGAAGAAUGGCUAAUGACUAGUCGAUGUGUUAUUUUGUGGCCGGCCUCAUUUCUUGCUGGUGAAUAAUUCAUUUAUGUUAUGAAAUUCCUACUCUCCUUCUGUUUUGUUACUUUUUGUCGUACAAUAAUAGCAUUGGAUCCUCCUAAAUGAAAAAUAGAUGAAGUCUUGAAAAUCAACUGAGCAGUUUAUGUUUAUACUCAUUGAUAAUAUGCAUCUAGAAACACAUGAUGAACCUAUAGAAGUACUAUUAUUAUGAUCUUUAGUAUAACUUCAUCCAUCCAUUACUCUCAGGUGAAGGUAGAGUAUUUUGAUAAAAUCCUAAGACACAAUUCUGACUUUUGCAGGGUACUCCUUUGUUAAAUAUGAUGCUUCAGAAGAAUCUGAUAAACCUGGCAACCCAUUGCGUGGCAACAUUUCUUCUAAUGCCUGGCCUCCAAAAAAAUCACAAAAAUUGGGCUCAAAUUCUAAUAUUGGCAUACUGGGGUUUGUAAAUCAGUUGCUUAUGGGUAUUGUGUCUUCUACUCCGGUAAGAGCAUUGACUACUUAUGAUGCAAUAUACACAUCGCAUUGCUUAUUUUUCUCAAUAUUCAUAUGUUUCUUGACUCUUAUUUUGCGCAUAUAAACUUUCAGGGCUAUAUC
This 1696-nucleotide long non-coding RNA is filed under the name Olea europaea (common olive). RNAcentral's name for it is "long non-coding RNA (OEUR_LNC000150)". The record is from RNAcentral. Lineage: Eukaryota; Viridiplantae; Streptophyta; Magnoliopsida; Lamiales; Oleaceae.